RNAcentral lists this ribosomal RNA (113 nucleotides) under Candidatus Levybacteria bacterium RIFCSPHIGHO2_01_FULL_40_58. Lineage: Bacteria; Candidatus Levyibacteriota. The record is from RNAcentral. RNAcentral also lists the same sequence under 5 other names.
CUUGGUCUUUGGAGCGAUGUAGAACCACCUGAUCCCUUUCCGAACUCAGAAGUGAAAUGCAUCAGCGCCCACGAUACUGGACAGUAGUCUGGGACAAUAAGUCAAGGCCAGGA